AACGAACGCUGGCGGCGUGCCUAACACAUGCAAGUCGUGCGAGAAAGUUCCUUCGGGAGCGAGUAAAGCGGCGCACGGGUGAGUAACACGUAGGUAACCUGCCCCCCAGUCUGGAACAACUAGAGGAAACUCUAGCUAAUGCCGGAUGAGACCACGAUCCCUUCGGGGGUUGCGGCCAAAGAUGGCCUCUACUUGUAAGCUAUCGCUGAGGGAUGGGCCUGCGGGCCAUUUAGCUUGUUGGUGAGGUAACGGCUCACCAAGGCUGUGAUGGCUAGCUGGUCUGAGAGGAUGACCAGCCACACUGGGACUGAGACACGGCCCAGACUCCUACGGGAGGCAGCAGUGGGGAAUAUUGGACAAUGGGCGAAGCCUGAUCCAGCAAUGCCGCGUGAGUGAUGAAGGCCUUAGGGUUGUAAAGGCUACUUUUACCCGGGAUGAUAAUGACAGUACCGGGAGAAUAAGCCCGGCUAACUCCGUGCCAGCAGCCGCGGUAA
RNAcentral lists this ribosomal RNA (494 nucleotides) under uncultured bacterium. Its description in RNAcentral is "bacterial SSU rRNA". It matches the Rfam family "Bacterial small subunit ribosomal RNA", at positions 29 to 523 of the family's 1533-position model. The record is from RNAcentral.